Long non-coding RNA from Homo sapiens (human), 792 nucleotides. Ensembl annotates it as EDRF1 divergent transcript. Its record names the gene EDRF1-DT. NCBI's taxonomy places the organism in Eukaryota, Metazoa, Chordata, Mammalia, Primates, Hominidae. The record is from Ensembl.
ACGGUAUCUGACGCUCAGGCUCCGCCCCCUGCAUGUCUUUGUUGGCAAACAGUUCUGGGGGUCGUCCGAUCCUGCAGGCUGGGAAGUUCAAGCACAUGGCUCUAGCUUCUGGUGAGAGGUUUCAGGCUGCGUCAUAAUAUGGCAGAGAAGAUCAAUGGGUAAAUGGACAUGUGUGAAGAAAGGCAAAACCAGAGACCGUCCAGGCUGGACUUGAACUCCUUCCUCGGCUGAAGUGAUCCUCCUGCCUCAGCGUCCUGAAUAGGAAGUGGAGCCAGAAUCCACAGAUGUCAUUAUCCAUCUGCACACUUUGUUUACUACCCAGAAGGCAAGAAUAUUGCAUUUUAAAAGUGCCCGGACUUUUGUUCUUUCUUAUCACAAAUGACUUGGGAAGCUCCGACCACUCAUGUUUACCCCGAGUGAAAGUCCCAUUCAAAGCCUUGCUUCCUGGAGAGCUUUGAGAUUCUGGUACAAAAGGCAUUUUAUAAGCACAAAGUGGAAAAGCAUCAUUCAUAUUCAUUUGCUGCUGCGGCAUUUCUCCCUGGAAUCUUCCUCUUGUCUGUCAACAUUGGGCAAAAGGACUGGCCUCAUCUACAUUACAGAUAUCCUUGUGAUGGUCUGGAGGUAGGAAAAGGACACCCAGCACAAGAGUGAGAAGGGAAACUCAAGCUCUCCUGUUGGAGAGUCUCAGGCUUCUUUAUCCAUAAAACUGAUUGGACAUAAUUGGUGUGGGUUUAUGAUUUGUUUUGGAAAAACCUGAGUAUGAAAUCAAUACUGUGCUUUGUGCAUCUUGGC